Gallus gallus (chicken) is the source of this 3040-nucleotide long non-coding RNA. Lineage: Eukaryota; Metazoa; Chordata; Aves; Galliformes; Phasianidae. The record is from Ensembl.
CUUAAUACCAGAUGGGGAAUUGUGCUGAUGGUAUCUCUUUCAAUUGCAUCUAAUUCCUUUCCAUUUGCAGAAGGAAUUUUCUUUUUCCUACAUGAUUUAGGUAAGCAUCCCAAAUCAUUUAAACAGGCCUUCAUUUCCCCCCUCCCCCGCCCUUCCUUUCCCCUCUUCUUCUUUUUUUUUUUUUUUUUUUUUUUUUUAAUAAAAGGUCUUAGAGUGCUGGAAAAGCACUUGAUAUCACAGCACAUUCUCUUCUCUGGUUCCAAUUUAGGAAACACACCUCUGUUAGUAAGUUUUUGCAAUACUAGGUUGAAAAACAUCUGCAAAUCUUGGAGACCAGUUGAAUAUCUGGCACUUCUUUAAGCUACCUGGCUUUCCAGCUCUGCAGCCUUGAGCCCUUACCAGUGCAUCUUUCAUAAUAUUCAUGUUUUAAUUAUCGCCAGUGCUUAUGGCAGUCUUUGAAAGUCAGAAGCUGUGAGGUUUGUCUUCAGUGCCCUGGGGGCUAUUUCAAGGGGAGGAACAGUUGUGAGGAUGGUUGGGUUUAUACCCCUAUUAUGCUUCAUGAGCACAGCAAACACUUAGCAAGAGCAAACCCCUUUAGCUGGGUUCCUUGUGAUUUAGGUUAUAUAGUGUUGCUGUACACCUCACAGGCGUUCCCUGAUGAGGUGCUUCAGAGGGAGUCUAUCCAACCUGUACAAGCUUUCUAGUUUUUCUCCUGGCAUGGGGUUCAUCCUGGAUAAGGACUGAUGACAGAUUCCCCACAACAGUCUCCUACACCUUCCCUAACCCCAGUCUGUUUGUUGGCUCUAAGAAAGGUUGGAACUCUUCAGGUGGCAGCCAGCAAGGCCAUCCCUGAGGAACCUGAAUCCUUUUUUGCCACAAAGAGCAAGAAGGUUUUUAUUAGCUGUGAUGGCCGCUCAACAGAUGAUUCACCACACUGGGCUUGGCUCUCUUGCAGCAUGUGAUAAAGGCAUUGUUAGUAGCUGCAUCAAGCAUCUAGUGUGCGUCUUUGGAGGAGCCAACAGUCAUGCAUACAACUAAGCAAGGAAUUUGCUGCCACAGGCAGUAGCUACACAGAUGUAAUGUCAGCAAGUUCAAAGAAGACAGACAAGGUAUUACAGUAAGGAGGGGAGGAUGUGUGCUCUACCAUCCCCAGUUAAUGACCGUGAAAGCUGGGAGGGCUGUGGAGUGAAUGGACUUCAGAGAGUGACCAGGCUUGCACGCUCUCUCUGAAGAUUGUUGCAACUGUUGAAGAACCAUUAGGUGAGAAGACCGUGGUCUUGGUUUAACUUAUGCGAGUUAUCUAUGCGACAGAUUUCCCCCAGUCCUCUUCAUUCUUCUGUGCUCACAACUGUUGCUGAAAAUGCGGUUUGCAUUGCUGUGCAGGAGGCUUACUUUGCACACUUGAUUGAUGGUGGCAUAUACUUCUUCAAACAAUGGAUGUGUUUCUGGUCACUCACGUCCUACAGCAAAAUUAUUUAAUUCCAUGCUUUCACAUGUGUAGUCUGUGCUGAAGUCCUGUAUGAAUACCAACUCAAGCAGGACUGGUGGUCUGCGUGAGAGUAGAAGGGCUCUGUAGAGAGCUCUGGAUUGUGUGGUUGGUAGGCUGGGUCCAGUUGUGUGACAUGCAACUAGACGAAAUGUGGGUGCUGCAUUAGGGUCACAAAAUUUUCAUGCGGUGAUACAGGCUUGGGGAAGAGUGGCUGAAAACCUACCUGGCAGAAAGGGCCUUGGGGGUGCUGGUUGGCAGCCAGAUGAACAUGAGCCAGCGGUGUGCCGAGGUGAUCAUGUCGUCAUGACCUGCAUCUGCAGUAUGGCCAGCAGGACUGUGGAAGGGACUGUCCUGUUGUACAUGGCACGGGCACCUCAAAUACUGUGUUCAGUUCUGAAGAGUAUAAAAGAAGGGUAUUGAGUUGCUCAAGUGUGUGCAGAAAAGAGCGAUGAAGAUAGUGAAGGGACUAGAAAAAGAGUGUUAUGGGGAGCAGCUGAGGGGAUUGGGUGGGGCUACUCAGUCUGGAGAAGAGGAGGCUGAGGGGAGGCCUCAUCACUCUACAGCUGUCUCAAAGUAAGCUGAAGCAAGGAGGAUGUUGGUCUCUUCACUUGGAUGUCUGGCGAUAGGAUGUGAGGAAAUGGCCUCAAGUUGUACAGGGGGAGGUUUAGAUUGGUAUGAGGAAGAAUGUCUUUGUGUAGACGAUGGUCAGUCAUUGGAAUGGGCUGCUCAGGGAAGUGAUUGAGUCGCAAUCUCUGUAGGUAUUUAAGAAACGUGUGGAUAUGGCAUUAGGAGAUUUGGUUUAGUGAUGGGACUUGAUAGGUCAGGGUGAUAGCUGGACUUGAUGAUCUUGAAGGUAGUUCCCAACCAAGAUGAUUCUAUCAUUCUAUUAUAUUGAAUAUCCUCUCCUUGUAAUGCAAACACAGUUAUGGACAUAGUUGAUAUACAGUAGGCUUCACCAUUGGGCAGCAAUUUUGCAUCCUUUUACAGUUGCUCCUAAACUGUGGAAAAAGUUGAUGACUUCCAACUCAAACAAACUGUCCUAGUGGCAGAGCACUGGGCAUUUACUGCACCUUGCACUGGGGCUUUGCUGUCCUUGGAGAGUUUUGUUCUUUCUGUGGUUACUUCUACAUAGACACUUCACUCCAGGGGCACAGCAAAUGUGCUUCUAUCCAGACAGGGACAUGGGGCCUGAAUCAGUGAUGGCUCCCUUGAACAGCUUCCGAUCCAAAAAUGUGGACAAAUUUGGUCCAAAUGAUAUUGGGAACCAUGCUAAUUCUAGGCUGAAGUAAACACCUAAACUGUAUAUAUUGUACAUGUGGGGACCUCAGUUUGGAUAUGCUCUUUUUGUGUGGAAUGAUUUAUUAAUGUAAACAGAGCCUCUUUCUCAAUUAAUAGCCUUUGUUUCCAUGCUGUAUUCCUUUAAGAUCAAUAAAGUAUGUUAACAUUAAUAACUUGGUUUCAAUGAGCCAAGCCCUGAAAAUCUGGUUUUUGUUCUUUUUAAAGGGGUUGCAGUCCUGAGAACUAAGAUUUUCAUGAUAAACCCAAAGGAAA